Microplitis mediator is the source of this 958-nucleotide long non-coding RNA. RefSeq lists it as uncharacterized. The record is from RefSeq and is a predicted model, not a curated record. The transcript is spliced from 2 exons. NCBI's taxonomy places the organism in Eukaryota, Metazoa, Arthropoda, Insecta, Hymenoptera, Braconidae.
AAAAAAAUUCGACGAAAAAUUCCAAUAUUACUAUCGUAAUCCUGGACUAUACUUUUAUUAUCUGUAACAUUCAAAUAUAUGAUACGAAAAUUUACAGUUUUUAAAAGAUUUUUUACUAUUCACUAUCGUAAUUUCAUUAAGAGUUUAUUGUAAUCAAUUCAAUAAGAAAUAUUACAAUGUUACUAUCGUAAAUAGUAAAAGAAUAAAAAAUAAGAUUUAAUUAUACUAUUUAUUCUUUUAUUCUUCCUUUUAAUUUACAGUGCUGCCUCUAUGUUUUUACAAUACAAGCUACAAAAAUUACGAUAGUUGGAUUGUAAAUUUUCUGAAAUGGUAUAGUAUAUGCCAUCUGAAGCGUUUACGUAUAAAAGACAAGUGUUGUCACAAACCAUGAUGUGAUGCUUGUAUGAGUGUAUAUAUAUAUAUAAAUACAAAUGAUGACAUCUACUUUGUCUGUAUUAUUUGUGGUUCAACUAUAUAUAUUUAUAAAUCAGUUCAUCUUUAUCCACAGUGUAGUGCAGAAAUAGAGGUUAUUAUUCAUGACGUUUUUCGGACAAUUAUAAAUAAGAAAUUUAAAAUAAAAACUGUACUUUCGUCAUUACAAACCUACAUAGAUUGUGGAAUAUAAUAAUUUGGUGGUGAUAAUCUUCAUUUGUCGACAAUGAAUAAUUUUACCCGGCUUUGCGAGAGGUAAAACAUUUCAAUAACCUCAAAUUAUGGACAUUCAACAUUUCUUUAUGAUACUGAAGUUAGCAGACGCCUAAUAAUUUUUGGAUUUUUUUAAAAAUGAUAAAUUAUAGAAAAAAAGUAUUCGAAAAAAUUGCACCUAUGGUUUUUUUAAUUUUCUACAUGUGCGUAUUUUGAAUACAAAUAAAUGAGUUAUUUAUUCAUAAAUUUUAUAUAUACCAAAAAAAUAUGUUUGAAAAAAUAUUAAAUAAAUGUUUUAUUAUUACUACUUCAA